RNAcentral lists this ribosomal RNA (39 nucleotides) under Sphaerellopsis filum. RNAcentral describes it as "partial 28S ribosomal RNA". Lineage: Eukaryota; Fungi; Ascomycota; Dothideomycetes; Pleosporales; Leptosphaeriaceae. The record is from RNAcentral.
UUGACCUCUGAUCAGGUUAUGGCUACCCGCUGAACUUAU